RNAcentral lists this ribosomal RNA (650 nucleotides) under Acinetobacter baumannii. RNAcentral's name for it is "bacterial SSU rRNA". It matches the Rfam family "Bacterial small subunit ribosomal RNA", at positions 86 to 731 of the family's 1533-position model. The record is from RNAcentral. Lineage: Bacteria; Pseudomonadati; Pseudomonadota; Gammaproteobacteria; Moraxellales; Moraxellaceae.
CUGGACCUAGCGGCGGACGGGUGAGUAAUGCUUAGGAAUCUGCCUAUUAGUGGGGGACAACAUCUCGAAAGGGAUGCUAAUACCGCAUACGUCCUACGGGAGAAAGCAGGGGAUCUUCGGACCUUGCGCUAAUAGAUGAGCCUAAGUCGGAUUAGCUAGUUGGUGGGGUAAAGGCCUACCAAGGCGACGAUCUGUAGCGGGUCUGAGAGGAUGAUCCGCCACACUGGGACUGAGACACGGCCCAGACUCCUACGGGAGGCAGCAGUGGGGAAUAUUGGACAAUGGGGGGAACCCUGAUCCAGCCAUGCCGCGUGUGUGAAGAAGGCCUUAUGGUUGUAAAGCACUUUAAGCGAGGAGGAGGCUACUUUAGUUAAUACCUAGAGAUAGUGGACGUUACUCGCAGAAUAAGCACCGGCUAACUCUGUGCCAGCAGCCGCGGUAAUACAGAGGGUGCGAGCGUUAAUCGGAUUUACUGGGCGUAAAGCGUGCGUAGGCGGCUUAUUAAGUCGGAUGUGAAAUCCCCGAGCUUAACUUGGGAAUUGCAUUCGAUACUGGUGAGCUAGAGUAUGGGAGAGGAUGGUAGAAUUCCAGGUGUAGCGGUGAAAUGCGUAGAGAUCUGGAGGAAUACCGAUGGCGAAGGCAGCCAUCUG